GACGGCAGCACGGACUUCGGUCUGGUGGCGAGUGGCGAACGGGUGUAGUAUACAUCGGAACGUACCCAGUAAUGGGGGAUAACUAUUCGAAAGAUUAGCUAAUACCGCAUACGCCCUACGGGGGAAAGAGGGGGAUCGCAAGACCUCUUGUUAUUGGAGCGGCCGAUGGCUGAUUAGCUAGUUGGUGGGGUAAAGGCCUACCAAGGCGACGAUCAGUAGCGGGUCUUAGAGGACGAUCCGCCACACUGGAACUGAGACACGGUCCAGACUCCUACGGGAGGCAGCAGUGGGGAAUCUUGGACAAUGGGCGAAAGCCUGAUCCAGCAAUGCCGCGUGCGUGAAGAAGGCCUUCGGGUUGUAAAGCGCUUUUGUCUGGGAGCAAAUCCUUGUGGCUAAUACCCACCGGGGAUGAGAGUACCAGAAGAAUAAGGACCGGCUAACUACGUGCCAGCAGCCGCGGUAAUACGUAGGGUCCAAGCGUUAAUCGGAAUUACUGGGCGUAAAGCGUGCGCAGGUGGUUUGUUAAGCGCGAUGUGAAAUCCCCGAGCUCAACUCGGGAAUUGCAUUGCGAACUGACUGACUAGAGUACGGCAGAGGGGGGUGGAAUUCCACGUGUAGCAGUGAAAUGCGUAGAGAUGUGGAGGAACACCGAUGGCGAAAGCAACCCCCUGGGCUGAUACUGACACUCAUGCACGAAAGCGUGGGGAGCAAACAGGAUUAAAUACCCCUGGUAGUCCACGCCCUAAACGAUGUCUACUAGUUGUUGG
RNAcentral lists this ribosomal RNA (767 nucleotides) under uncultured bacterium. RNAcentral describes it as "bacterial SSU rRNA". It matches the Rfam family "Bacterial small subunit ribosomal RNA", at positions 65 to 826 of the family's 1533-position model. The record is from RNAcentral.